This 273-nucleotide ribosomal RNA is filed under the name uncultured Dialister sp. RNAcentral describes it as "partial 16S ribosomal RNA". It matches the Rfam family "Bacterial small subunit ribosomal RNA", at positions 99 to 354 of the family's 1533-position model. Lineage: Bacteria; Bacillati; Bacillota; Negativicutes; Veillonellales; Veillonellaceae. The record is from RNAcentral.
CAAACGGGUGAGUAACGCGUAAACAACCUGCCCUUCGGAUGGGGACAACAGCUGGAAACGGCUGCUAAUACCGAAUACGUUCUUUUCAUCGCAUGGUGAGAAGAAGAAAGGACGGCCUCUACACAAAGCGGUCGCCGAAGGAGGGGUUUGCGUCUGAUUAGCUAGUUGGAGGGGUAACGGCCCAACAAGGCGACGAUCAGUAGCCGGUCUGAGAGGAUGAACGGCCACAUUGGGACUGAGACACGGCCCAGACUCCUACGGGAGGCAGCAGGU